RNAcentral lists this ribosomal RNA (433 nucleotides) under uncultured bacterium. Its description in RNAcentral is "partial 16S ribosomal RNA". It matches the Rfam family "Bacterial small subunit ribosomal RNA", at positions 29 to 507 of the family's 1533-position model. The record is from RNAcentral.
AACGAACGCUGGCGGCAUGCCUAACACAUGCAAGUCGAACGAGACCUUCGGGUCUAGUGGCGCACGGGUGCGUAACGCGUGGGAACCUGCCCUUAGGUUCGGAAUAACUCCCCGACAGGGGUGCUAAUACAGGAUAAUGUCUUCGGACCAAAGAUUUAUCGCCUUUGGAUGGGCACGCGUUGGAUUAGCUAGUUGGUAGGGUAAAAGCCUAUCACGGCGACGAUCCAUAGCUGGUAUGAGAGGAUGAGCAGCCACACUGGGACUGGGACGCGGCCCAGACUCCUACGGGAGGCAGGAGUGGGGAAUAUUGGACAAUGGGCGAAAGCCUGAACCAGCAAUGCCGCGUGAGUGAUGAAGGCCGUAGGGUUGUAAAGCUCUUUUACCCGGGAUGAUAAUGACGGUACCGGGAGAAUAAGCACCGGCUAACUCCGUG